AAUAACAAGUACGAAGAUUUUACUACAAUAUUGGUUUCUUGUGUGUGUCUUACUUUAAAACAGAGAGAAAAUGGAUACAAUUAUUACUUAGAGAAGUGUUUGUGCCUCUCUAUUGCCAGCUGCUUGCUUGUCCUUUUUGUCUUCAGCCCUGCAGUGUGGGUGGAUUUGAUCUCUGUGAUGAACCUGAGCUUGUCUUCAAGCAAGCUGCAGAAAGAACUCUGAGCGUGAAGGUGUCUAUAAGCAGUCGUUUUAAAUGAAGAAGUAUCAGAAAACAAAAAAAAAGGAAGAUAGGAGUGAAUGUGGUGGUAUAAAAAGAAAGAUUAAUUUUUGUGUGGCCUGCUCUGGGCCAUUUGGAGAGCUUUUACUUUCUUCUGACCCCUCUGUGGAUUCCAAGACUUGCAGCUGUGCAAAUUCCACUUUUUAGAUUGGUAAAUUGCAUCCAACAAAGUGUUAGGAUGUAACUGAGGAGAGAAACAGAAAAGCAUAAAUUAAUAGGAAAAACUGUGGAUUUGGAAUGGAAGUGAUGAAAUGUGGUGAGUAGGUUGAGGUGGAGCAGCACUGUAAUAUGCAAAUGAUUCCCUUGGUUACAUCAUCUUGCUUUCCUUCAGUCACUUGUGGCAAAAUAAGAUUUCUUGCAAUGCUGACUUUAUUUUCAUGGAAAAAGGAGUUAAUUCUGUGGGUGGUAAGGGCUGAAGGGUAAUUUACACCUCACUGGGCAGUCUGUGUCACUUAACUUGAUAUGAUCUUGUUAUGUAUGCAGCACCUUUCUAAAAUUUGUGGGACUUAAUGUAAUCUAUACCUUAUCUGUAUUAAUUUUUUUAUGGGAUUAAAAAAAAAUCUAAAUUUUAUAUUUCCUAACUUAUCCCAAAUCAUUCUUGGUCUCUUUCAAUGGUUUAAGCAUAUGAAAUGUUCUCAAUUCACACUUCAGUGAGAUUCAAUGGGAUGACAGGAAG
Motacilla alba alba is the source of this 953-nucleotide long non-coding RNA. RefSeq lists it as uncharacterized. NCBI's taxonomy places the organism in Eukaryota, Metazoa, Chordata, Aves, Passeriformes, Motacillidae. The record is from RefSeq and is a predicted model, not a curated record. The transcript has 4 exons.